Non-coding RNA from Halichondria panicea, 74 nucleotides. Lineage: Eukaryota; Metazoa; Porifera; Demospongiae; Suberitida; Halichondriidae. The record is from the annotation of a RefSeq genome assembly.
UCCCUAGUGGCCCAGUCGGUUAGAGCGUCGUACUUAUAAUGCGAAGGUCGAGAGUUCGAUCCUCUCCUAGGGAA